GACAGAGGGUGCAAACGUUGUUCGGAAUUACUGGGCGUAAAGCGCGUGUAGGCGGCAAGGCAAGUCGGAUGUGAAAGCCCGCGGCUCAACCGUGGAAGUGCACUCGAAACUGCCUAGCUAGAGUCUCGGAGAGGAAGGUGGAAUGCUUGGUGUAGAGGUGAAAUUCGUAGAUAUCAAGCAGAACACCUGUGGCGAAGGCGGCCUUCUGGACGGUGACUGACGCUGAGACGCGAAAGCGUGGGGAGCAAACAGG
RNAcentral lists this ribosomal RNA (253 nucleotides) under uncultured bacterium. RNAcentral's name for it is "partial 16S ribosomal RNA". It matches the Rfam family "Bacterial small subunit ribosomal RNA", at positions 524 to 776 of the family's 1533-position model. The record is from RNAcentral.